UUAAGUCCCGCAACGAGCGCAACCCUUAUCCUUUGUUGCCAGCGGUCCGGCCGGGAACUCAAAGGAGACUGCCAGUGAUAAACUGGAGGAAGGUGGGGAUGACGUCAAGUCAUCAUGGCCCUUACGACCAGGGCUACACACGUGCUACAAUGGCGCAUACAAAGAGAAGCGACCUCGCGAGAGCAAGCGGACCUCAUAAAGUGCGUCGUAGUCCGGAUUGGAGUCUGCAACUCGACUCCAUGAAGUCGGAAUCGCUAGUAAUCGUGGAUCAGAAUGCCACGGUGAAUACGUUCCCGGGCCUUGUACACACCGCCCGUCACACCAUGGGAGUGGGUUGCAAAAGAAGUAGGUAGCUUAACCUUCGGGAGGGCGCUUACCACUUUGUGAUUCAUGACUGGGGUGAAGUCGUAACAAGGUAACCGUAGGGGAACCUGCGGUUGGA
RNAcentral lists this ribosomal RNA (442 nucleotides) under Escherichia coli. Its description in RNAcentral is "bacterial SSU rRNA". It matches the Rfam family "Bacterial small subunit ribosomal RNA", at positions 1080 to 1522 of the family's 1533-position model. Lineage: Bacteria; Pseudomonadati; Pseudomonadota; Gammaproteobacteria; Enterobacterales; Enterobacteriaceae. The record is from RNAcentral.